GGAGGGUAGGGGAAGGGGGUCUUUUCCCCAAGGAGCAAACCUCUCCCUUGGGGAAGUUCAUGAGGCCACGGGGCACUGAGUUCUUCCUGGUGGAGCUGCAGGAUGGCCUCGGCCAGGCGCUGCAACCUGCUCUUGCUCUGUUCAGCUUUGGAGGGUGAAGAUACCGGCUGGUUGGGUGGUGGGGCCCUGGCUGGACGGGAGAGAUCCUAGUCCAUGGCCUUCACCAGGUCCCAGCAACUAGGCCUGGGCAGAGGCUUGAUAAUCAGCAGGAUGGAUAAUCCGCCGGUAAAUAACGAGAAGCCAGCCUGCUGGCUGCAUAGCAGGAGGGUGUCUCAGUUGAAGCUCUUUGGUUAAAGGGAAAAGAAACCCUUCAGACGAGCAAACAGGAUUUAUGGAGGGGAUGGAACAGCGCAUCUCACAGAGACCUAAGAAGAGACGGGCCGUCUGGAAAAUGAGGGCAUCCAAGGCACAAGGAGAUUCCCAGGCAAAGGUGGAAUUGGAGCUGCAGCUGCCGGCCUACCCCAUAGCCACAGCAACGCCAGAUCCGAGCUGUAUCAGCAAAUUAUACCAGAUCCUACGGCACGGCUGGACCCUUAACCCACUGAGCAAGAAGAAACACACACAUGAUUGUAGAAAGCUUGGAAAACAGAAACCACCAAGAUGGAAGGGAAAAGCAGCUGUAAUCCAAGAUAACGGCUGUUAACAUACUGGAUAAAGCGUUGGACAUCUUUUGAUGUGAUAAGGCAACGCUGGACCACUGGAUAUGAUCCAGCAACAGGCAAAAAAGUUUUAAGAGCCCUGCCCAACCUGCUUCUUCAUUUACUUCUGCCUUGGUUGGUUGUGUGGCUACUGGAUGUCAGCCUGACUUCUGAGUGAAGGUCUGUUAAAGUGCUUUGGGAUGAGGAUAACGUUCUGGACGUCUCCACGACUCACCUGCUGCAGAGCAGAGCAUGGCAUGUGGAAUCUACUUAGCAAACAUCGAACUGGCAGGGGAAAGGUAUUAAACUUGGAGGGACUAGGGGCAGCCCCAGUCCCCAGCAGACAGACUGGCACAGCGUUACCUGUCCUGAAAGAGCAGCUCAGGGUCCCUGGGAGCAUCUCAGAUUGUCAAGAUCUUCCCCCACCCCUCUUUUAGUCCUGAUACAGACUCACUGUCACCAGGUGUAGCAUUGUUAUCCUUAUGAUCAUGGCUCUCACCUAGCUGUCUCCUGGCCUGCAUGGAAAAGAAGGUGUGAGCUUCUAGAUAGUGUCCCAGCCAAGUGAAAAUGAGGCAGAAGUUCCAGAACUGGAGAGCGGAAGCAGCCCUUAUGGGGAGGGAGGGAACCAAACACAUGGUCUUUGGGUUGGAAUCUGGCCCUCAGCCCCUCUGCCCCUUGCGGAACAUGAAAACAAAUCUCCUCUCGGUCCUGCUUGCUUGCUUCUUUAAUGGCAGGAGUGAGAGGCCAAAGGAGAUCCCACUGGGAACUCCCAGGAGGAAAGGCAGUAGUAAUAACAAUGAUGAGGAGAGCUUAUGGCUUGUUGAGGCUGCCGGCAAACAGAAAACAGGGCAAGUGGAGGCCACUCCUGGGGGCUGGGCGAAAUUUGCCCUCCUCUCGGCCUUUGAGGGUAGGAGGUGCAGGGAAGGGCAGAGGACGCAGGAAGACCUUGGGACCCUGUUUCAGACUCAUCACUGCUUUUGGACUUCCUAGGUGUGUGGGACUCCUGAGAAGCCCGCCUCCCUCCCCGGAGUUUCUUCCUCUCAUCGGAGAAUUCUGGCUUCUCCAUUUCUGACAAGAUGAUUCAAAGCAAAAGUGGACUUGUCAGAGACAGGAAGGGAAGAUAAGAUAAAAAUAAAAAGUUAGCCAGACUUAGAAGUUUUUCUGGCCUUAGUUCCUGCUCUCUCUCUCCCCUCCAACAUUUGCAUUCUUGCAAACAAAAAUCCCACAGCAAAGCCCAGAAGGGGGGCCCAGGCCUUAGGCUCCAGGUCAAGGCCUGAGGGCAGUGGAGGAAGUGAUUCAGGGCCCCCCGGGGGAUGGAGGAGCUGGAGGCUGGGGCCAGGACACAGGGCUGCGGGCAGCGGGUCAGCCUCAGUCCGGCUCGCAGUGCCCCUGCCCCCAUUCACCCACAGGCAGGCCAGCCCGGAGCCAGAGACGGGUGACUGAUGGGUCCCAGCUUGAAUGGAAAGUCCAGAUUCCAGGGAGACAGCCUAAGAGGUUGUUUCCUAGUUUAUCUGGACCAGAAGCACACAGAAUCUUGACUGUACCUUUAACAGUUAGGAAAAAACAAAACAAAACAAACAAACAAACAAA
This is a non-coding RNA of Sus scrofa (pig), 2288 nucleotides long. Lineage: Eukaryota; Metazoa; Chordata; Mammalia; Artiodactyla; Suidae. The record is from RefSeq and is a predicted model, not a curated record.